This 478-nucleotide ribosomal RNA is filed under the name uncultured bacterium. RNAcentral describes it as "partial 16S ribosomal RNA". It matches the Rfam family "Bacterial small subunit ribosomal RNA", at positions 28 to 523 of the family's 1533-position model. The record is from RNAcentral.
GACGAACGCUGGCGGCGUGCUUAACACAUGCAAGUCGAACGGUAAGGCCCUUCGGGGUACACGAGUGGCGAACGGGUGAGUAACACGUGGGUGAUCUGCCCUGCACUUCGGGAUAAGCCUGGGAAACUGGGUCUAAUACCGGAUAGGACCCUGGGAUGCAUGUCCUGGGGUGGAAAGCUUUUGCGGUGUGGGAUGGGCCCGCGGCCUAUCAGCUUGUUGGUGGGGUGAGGGCAUACCAAGGCGACGACGGGUAGCCGGCCUGAGAGGGUGAACGGCCACACUGGGACUGAGAUACGGCCCAGACUCCUACGGGAGGCGGCAGUGGGGAAUAUUGCACAAUGGGCGCAAGCCUGAUGCAGCGACGCCGCGUGAGGGAUGACGGCCUUCGGGUUGUAAACCUCUUUCAGCACCGACGAAGCGCAAGUGACGGUAGGUGCAGAAGAAGGACCGGCCAACUACGUGCCAGCCGCCGCCGUAA